GUGACGAAGCGACGCCGCGUGGGUGAGGAAGGCCCUCGGGUUGUAAAGCCCUGUCAGGAGUUAAGAAAUGUAAGUGCGCUAAUAUCGCAUUUAUUUGACGAAGGCUCCAAAGGAAGCCACGGCUAACUCUGUGCCAGCAGCCGCGGUAAUACAGAGGUGGCAAGCGUUGUUCGGAAUUAUUGGGCGUAAAGAGCACGUAGGUGGGUUUGUAAGUCAGAUGUGAAAGCCUUCUGUUCAACGGAAGAAUUGCAUCUGAAACUACAAGUCUUGAGUGUAGGAGGGGAGAAUGGAACUUCUGGUGGAGCGGUGAAAUGCGUAGAUAUCAGAAGGAACGCCGGCGGCGAAAGCGAUUCUCUGGCCUAUUACUGACACUCAGUGUGCGAAAGCUAGGGGAGCAAACGGGAUUAGAUACCCCGGUAGUCCUAGCCGUAAACGAU
RNAcentral lists this ribosomal RNA (437 nucleotides) under uncultured Planctomycetota bacterium. RNAcentral describes it as "bacterial SSU rRNA". It matches the Rfam family "Bacterial small subunit ribosomal RNA", at positions 383 to 810 of the family's 1533-position model. Lineage: Bacteria; Pseudomonadati; Planctomycetota. The record is from RNAcentral.